GACGAACGCUGGCGGCGUGCCUAAUACAUGCAAGUCGAACGCAUUUUCUUUCACCGUAGCUUGCUACACCGAAAGAAAAUGAGUGGCGAACGGGUGAGUAACACGUGGGUAACCUGCCCAUCAGCGGGGGAUAACUCCGGGAAACCGGGCUAAUACCGGAUAACACCUCGGAUCGCAUGAUCCGAAGUUGAAAGAUGGUUCUGCUAUCACUUACAGAUGGACCCGCGGCGCAUUAGCUAGCUGGUGAGGUAGUGGCUCACCAAGGCGACGAUGCGUAGCCGACCUGAGAGGGUGAUCGGCCACACUGGGACUGAGACACGGCCCAG
RNAcentral lists this ribosomal RNA (326 nucleotides) under uncultured bacterium. RNAcentral describes it as "bacterial SSU rRNA". It matches the Rfam family "Bacterial small subunit ribosomal RNA", at positions 28 to 334 of the family's 1533-position model. The record is from RNAcentral.